RNAcentral lists this ribosomal RNA (224 nucleotides) under uncultured bacterium. Its description in RNAcentral is "partial 16S ribosomal RNA". It matches the Rfam family "Bacterial small subunit ribosomal RNA", at positions 524 to 743 of the family's 1533-position model. The record is from RNAcentral.
UACGUAGGCAGCAAGCGUUGUUCGGAGUUACUGGGCGUAAAGGGUGCGCAGGUGGCCGUGCGCGUGGGGAGUGAAAUCGACCCUGGCUUAACUGGGCGGGGGCUUUCCAGACGGCGCGGCUUGAGCCACAGAGGGGGGGCGUGGAAUUCCGGGUGGAGCGGUGAAAUGACGUAGAGAUCCGGAGGAACACCGACGGCGUAGGCGGUUCUCUGGGCAUUACCUGA